CUGGCUUGGGCAAAUCCACUCUUGUCAACAGCCUUUUCCUCACAAACCUCUAUAUAAAUAGAUGCAUGCCUGAUGUUUAAGAGAAGAUAGAUCGGACAGUCUCGAUAACAAAGAACACUGUAGACAUUGUUGAAGAGGGAGUAAAUCUAAGACUCACUGUUAUUGACACCCCUGGUUUUGGAGAUACCCUUAAUAAUCAUGAAAGCUGGAAGGCCGCUGUUUAUUAUGUAGACCAGGAGAUGGAGAAGUGGUGCAGAAAUGAGAUCGGGUUGAACCGUAAAAACAUAACAGACAACAGAGUGCACUGCUGUCUGUACUUCAUUUCACCUCAUGGCCAU
Long non-coding RNA from Carassius carassius (crucian carp), 338 nucleotides. RefSeq lists it as uncharacterized. The record is from RefSeq and is a predicted model, not a curated record. The transcript is spliced from 3 exons. NCBI's taxonomy places the organism in Eukaryota, Metazoa, Chordata, Actinopteri, Cypriniformes, Cyprinidae.